This 273-nucleotide ribosomal RNA is filed under the name uncultured bacterium. Its description in RNAcentral is "partial 16S ribosomal RNA". It matches the Rfam family "Bacterial small subunit ribosomal RNA", at positions 524 to 796 of the family's 1533-position model. The record is from RNAcentral.
GACGAACCGUGCGAACGUUGUUCGGAUUCACUGGGCUUAAAGGGCGCGUAGGCGGCCGCCCAAGUCGGGGGUGAAAUCUUCCCGCUUAACGGGAAAAUAGCUUCCGAUACUGGGCGGCUGGAGGGAGGUAGGGGUGCGCGGAACUUCCGGUGGAGCGGUGAAAUGCGUAGAGAUCGGAAGGAACGCCGGUGGCGAAAGCGGCGCACUGGACCUUCGCUGACGCUGAGGCGCGAAAGCCAGGGGAGCAAACGGGAUUAGAAACCCCCGUAGUCC